This 253-nucleotide ribosomal RNA is filed under the name uncultured bacterium. RNAcentral's name for it is "partial 16S ribosomal RNA". It matches the Rfam family "Bacterial small subunit ribosomal RNA", at positions 524 to 776 of the family's 1533-position model. The record is from RNAcentral.
UACGGGGGGAGCAAGCGUUGUUCGGAUUUACUGGGCGUAAAGCGUGCGCAGGCGGUUUCUUAAGUCAGAUGUGAAAGCCCCGGGCUUAACCUGGGAACUGCGUUUGAAACUGGGAGACUUGAGUGUGGCAGAGGGGGGUGGAAUUCCACGUGUAGCAGUGAAAUGCGUAGAUAUGUGGAGGAACACCGAUGGCGAAGGCAGCCCCCUGGGUUAACACUGACGCUCAUGCACGAAAGCGUGGGGAGCAAACAGG